RNAcentral lists this long non-coding RNA (232 nucleotides) under Lathyrus oleraceus (garden pea). Its description in RNAcentral is "Pisum sativum (pea) long non-coding RNA (PSAT_LNC036851)". The record is from RNAcentral. Lineage: Eukaryota; Viridiplantae; Streptophyta; Magnoliopsida; Fabales; Fabaceae.
AACUGCAUCUCGAGAAUCAGCAAAACAGUCCAACUGGGGCAUUUCAAAAAAAAAAAAAAAAGAGAGAAAGAAAAAAGAAAGAGAAGGGUGCAAAAUCAAAAGAAAUCAAAUCAAAAAUCAAAAGAAAGAAAAAGGAAAGAAAGAAACAAAAGAAAAAUAGCACCCUCGAAGUCCCAAGUUGACUGAUGAUGAAUGGAUUCAGAGUCGCUACGACCAAGUGAAUCUGAUCAAA